GGGCCGCGAGGCGUGGCCAGAGCGCGUCCCCGGAGGGUGGUAGUUCACCGCGCCCCUCGCACCUGAGACCUGGGGCGCCCCCGGCCUAAGUGAAAGCGCCAAUCACGGCUGCACUCUCCUGAACAGGGAACUGGCGGGGCGGGAAAAAUUGACUUGGUUCCGGGUUCACAAGCGGAUUUACUUUGAAAAAAUUGGAUUUAUGAGCCAGCAAUUCCCUUGGUGUCUAUCUCAGAGUAACCCUCGCACAAUGCAUAAAAAGGUUUGUGCAUGGAUACUCCUGUAUAGGCCCACAAACAGUACAAAAUUAUGAACAAUGUUUGCAGUUGCGGAAAAUUGAAAUCAGUGGGGGAAUGAAGAAAUAAAUCAUGAAACAUUCCUACUAUGGAAUAUUAUGCAAUCGUGACAAGAGAUGAGGUGAUUCCACGUGGCAAAAAAUCUCCCCAAGUGUGUAGUAAGUAAAAAAGGCAACGGAUGUUAUUGUUCUUCGGCCCUCCAGAAAGUCAACAGGCAAAAUACCUUGAGCAUCCCAAAAAGCUGCUGCUAUGACUUCGGCUCUUGACCAGUCCACUUUUGAUUUGACUGGACCACUUGCACCUCUUGCUCAUCUGGGUGCAACAGUUUUGCACCCAUCGCGUGAAAAGUUUGCUCAACUUCAGUAUUUCAGUGAGAAAUGUGGGUGUCCCUCUGCCCGGCCGCCCCAUCCGGGAAGAAGUGAGGAGCGCCUCUGCCCGGCCACCCAUCGUCUGGGAAGUGAGGAGCGCCUCUGCCCGGCCACCCACCGUCUGGGAAGUGAGGAGCGCCUCUGCCCGGCCGCCCCGUCGGGAAGAAGUGAGGAGCGCCUCUGCCCGGCCGCCCCGUCCGGGAAGAAGUGAGGAGCGCCUCUGCCCGGCCGCCCCAUCUGGGAGGUGAGGAGCGCCUCUGCCCGGCCACCCAUCGUCUGGGAGGUGAGGAGCGCCUCUGCCCGGCCACCCAUCGUCUGGGAGGUGAGGAGCGCCUCUGCCUGGCCACCCAUCGUCUGGAAAGUGAGGAGCGCCUCUGCCCGGCUGCCCCAUCUGGGAAGUGAGGAGUGCCUCUGCCCGGCCACCCAUCGUCUGGGAGGUGAGGAGCGCCUCUGCCCGGCCACCCAUUGUCUGGGAAGUGGGGAGCGCCUCUGCCCGACCACCCAUCGUCUGGGAAGUGAGGAGCGCCUCUGCCCGGCCACCUAUCGUCUGGGAAGAAGUGAGGAGCGUCUCUGCCUGGCCGCCCCGUCUGGGAAGUGAGGAGCCCCUCUGCCCGGCCGCCCCGUGUCUGGGUAGAAGUGAGGAGCUCCUCUGCCUGGCCGCUCCGUCUGGGAGGUCUACCACGGAGGCCAGAAGCAAUGUGGGGGCUGGACGUGGUGGCUCACGCCUGUGGUCCCGGCACUCUGGGGGGCGAGGCGGGUUGAUCACUUCGGGCUAGGAGUUCGAGACCAGUCUGGCCAACUUGGCGAAACAUGAAGAAUACAACAGACAAACCAACCAACCAACUCAAUGACAACAAAACAGGUCUACCCUGGAGUCAUACUCUAAUUUUUUCUAUUUUCCUCCCUUUCUGAUCCUUUAUCCCACUUUCUUUUUCUUCCUCUUCCUUCUCCCUCUUCUUUGUCAAAUAGAGGAUUGAGUUAUUAUCACUGAUCCAUAUAAAGUCCCUCUCAUUUAUUUUAACUCCCACCCCCAUUUCUAUUCCCCAACUUCCCAUGUGCAACCUUCCUAAUAUGUUUGAUAUGCAUCUUUUUGUUUGUAUGUAUUUUUAGAAAAUGUUUAUUGUUUUUGUAUGCAAAAAAAAUUAAUAAAAAGAAAAAAAAAAAAAAA
Long non-coding RNA from Symphalangus syndactylus (siamang), 1829 nucleotides. RefSeq lists it as uncharacterized. The record is from RefSeq and is a predicted model, not a curated record. NCBI's taxonomy places the organism in Eukaryota, Metazoa, Chordata, Mammalia, Primates, Hylobatidae.